Molecule: ribosomal RNA, 2920 nt
Filed under: Klebsiella pneumoniae
Lineage: Bacteria; Pseudomonadati; Pseudomonadota; Gammaproteobacteria; Enterobacterales; Enterobacteriaceae
Description: 23S ribosomal RNA
Rfam family: Bacterial large subunit ribosomal RNA
Source: RNAcentral
GGGUUGUGAGGUUAAGCGACUAAGCGUACACGGUGGAUGCCCCGCAGUCAGAGGCGAUGAAGGACGUGCUAAUCUGCGAAAAGCGUCGGUAAGGUGAUAUGAACCGUUAUAACCGGCGAUGUCCGAAUGGGGAAACCCAGUGUGAUUCGUCACACUAUCGUUAACUGAAUACAUAGGUUAACGAGGCGAACCGGGGGAACUGAAACAUCUAAGUACCCCGAGGAAAAGAAAUCAACCGAGAUUCCCCCAGUAGCGGCGAGCGAACGGGGAGCAGCCCAGAGUCUGAAUCAGCUUGUGUGUUAGUGGAACGGUCUGGAAAGUCCGACGGUACAGGGUGAUAGUCCCGUACACCAAAAUGCACAGGUUGUGAACUCGAAGAGUAGGGCGGGACACGUGGUAUCCUGUCUGAAUAUGGGGGGACCAUCCUCCAAGGCUAAAUACUCCUGACUGACCGAUAGUGAACCAGUACCGUGAGGGAAAGGCGAAAAGAACCCCGGCGAGGGGAGUGAAAAAGAACCUGAAACCGUGUACGUACAAGCAGUGGGAGCACCUUCGGGUGUGACUGCGUACCUUUUGUAUAAUGGGUCAGCGACUUAUAUUCUGUAGCAAGGUUAACCGUAUAGGGGAGCCGCAGGGAAACCGAGUCUUAACUGGGCGUUAAGUUGCAGGGUAUAGACCCGAAACCCGGUGAUCUAGCCAUGGGCAGGUUGAAGGUUGGGUAACACUAACUGGAGGACCGAACCGACUAAUGUUGAAAAAUUAGCGGAUGACUUGUGGCUGGGGGUGAAAGGCCAAUCAAACCGGGAGAUAGCUGGUUCUCCCGAAAGCUAUUUAGGUAGCGCCUCGUGAACUCAUCUUCGGGGGUAGAGCACUGUUUCGGCUAGGGGGUCAUCCCGACUUACCAACCCGAUGCAAACUACGAAUACCGAAGAAUGUUAUCACGGGAGACACACGGCGGGUGCUAACGUCCGUCGUGAAGAGGGAAACAACCCAGACCGCCAGCUAAGGUCCCAAAGUCAUGGUUAAGUGGGAAACGAUGUGGGAAGGCACAGACAGCCGUGAUGUUGGCUUAGAAGCAGCCAUCAUUUAAAGAAAGCGUAAUAGCUCACUGGUCGAGUCGGCCUGCGCGGAAGAUGUAACGGGGCUAAACCAUGCACCGAAGCUGCGGCAGCGACACUAUGUGUUGUUGGGUAGGGGAGCGUUCUGUAAGCCUGCGAAGGUGACCUGUGAGGGUUGCUGGAGGUAUCAGAAGUGCGAAUGCUGACAUAAGUAACGAUAAAGCGGGUGAAAAGCCCGCUCGCCGGAAGACCAAGGGUUCCUGUCCAACGUUAAUCGGGGCAGGGUGAGUCGACCCUAAGGCGAGGCCGAAAGGCGUAGUCGAUGGGAAACAGGUUAAUAUUCCUGUACUUGGUGUUACUGCGAAGGGGGGACGGAGAAGGCUAUGUUAGCCGGGCGACGGUUGUCCCGGUUUAAGCAUGUAGGCUGGUUGUCCAGGCAAAUCCGGAUAAUCAAGGCUGAGGUGUGAUGACGAGGCACUACGGUGCUGAAGUAACAAAUGCCCUGCUUCCAGGAAAAGCCUCUAAGCAUCAGGUAACAUUAAAUCGUACCCCAAACCGACACAGGUGGUCAGGUAGAGAAUACCAAGGCGCUUGAGAGAACUCGGGUGAAGGAACUAGGCAAAAUGGUGCCGUAACUUCGGGAGAAGGCACGCUGGUGUGUAGGUGAAGUCCCUGCGGAUGGAGCUGAGACCAGUCGAAGAUACCAGCUGGCUGCAACUGUUUAUUAAAAACACAGCACUGUGCAAACACGAAAGUGGACGUAUACGGUGUGACGCCUGCCCGGUGCCGGAAGGUUAAUUGAUGGGGUUAUCCGUAAGGAGAAGCUCUUGAUCGAAGCCCCGGUAAACGGCGGCCGUAACUAUAACGGUCCUAAGGUAGCGAAAUUCCUUGUCGGGUAAGUUCCGACCUGCACGAAUGGCGUAAUGAUGGCCAGGCUGUCUCCACCCGAGACUCAGUGAAAUUGAACUCGCUGUGAAGAUGCAGUGUACCCGCGGCAAGACGGAAAGACCCCGUGAACCUUUACUAUAGCUUGACACUGAACAUUGAGCCUUGAUGUGUAGGAUAGGUGGGAGGCUUUGAAGCGUGGACGCCAGUCUGCGUGGAGCCAACCUUGAAAUACCACCCUUUAAUGUUUGAUGUUCUAACGUUGGCCCCUGACCGGGGUUGCGGACAGUGUCUGGUGGGUAGUUUGACUGGGGCGGUCUCCUCCCAAAGCGUAACGGAGGAGCACGAAGGUUAGCUAAUCCUGGUCGGACAUCAGGAGGUUAGUGCAAUGGCAUAAGCUAGCUUGACUGCGAGCGUGACGGCGCGAGCAGGUGCGAAAGCAGGUCAUAGUGAUCCGGUGGUUCUGAAUGGAAGGGCCAUCGCUCAACGGAUAAAAGGUACUCCGGGGAUAACAGGCUGAUACCGCCCAAGAGUUCAUAUCGACGGCGGUGUUUGGCACCUCGAUGUCGGCUCAUCACAUCCUGGGGCUGAAGUAGGUCCCAAGGGUAUGGCUGUUCGCCAUUUAAAGUGGUACGCGAGCUGGGUUUAGAACGUCGUGAGACAGUUCGGUCCCUAUCUGCCGUGGGCGCUGGAGAAUUGAGGGGGGCUGCUCCUAGUACGAGAGGACCGGAGUGGACGCAUCACUGGUGUUCGGGUUGUCAUGCCAAUGGCACUGCCCGGUAGCUAAAUGCGGAAGAGAUAAGUGCUGAAAGCAUCUAAGCACGAAACUUGCCCCGAGAUGAGUUCUCCCUGAGACUUUAAGUCUCCUGAAGGAACGUUGAAGACGACGACGUUGAUAGGCCGGGUGUGUAAGCGCAGCGAUGCGUUGAGCUAACCGGUACUAAUGAACCGUGAGGCUUAACCUUACAACGCCGAAG